RNAcentral lists this ribosomal RNA (461 nucleotides) under Klebsiella michiganensis. Its description in RNAcentral is "partial 23S ribosomal RNA". It matches the Rfam family "Bacterial large subunit ribosomal RNA", at positions 1 to 492 of the family's 2925-position model. Lineage: Bacteria; Pseudomonadati; Pseudomonadota; Gammaproteobacteria; Enterobacterales; Enterobacteriaceae. The record is from RNAcentral.
GGGUUGUGAGGUUAAGCGACUAAGCGUACACGGUGGAUGCCCUGGCAGUCAGAGGCGAUGAAGGACGUGCUAAUCUGCGAAAAGCGUCGGUAAGGUGAUAUGAACCGUUACAGCCGGCGAUGUCCGAAUGGGGAAACCCAGUGCAAUUCGUUGCACUAUCGUUUGAUGAAUACAUAGUCAAACGAGGCGAACCGGGGGAACUGAAACAUCUAAGUACCCCGAGGAAAAGAAAUCAACCGAGAUUCCCCCAGUAGCGGCGAGCGAACGGGGAGCAGCCCGGAGUCUGAAUCAGCUUGUGUGUUAGUGGAAGCGUCUGGAAAGUCGCAGGGUACAGGGUGAUACUCCCGUACACUAAAACACACAGGUUGUGAACUCGAAGAGUAGGGCGGGACACGUGGUAUCCUGUCUGAAUAUGGGGGGACCAUCCUCCAAGGCUAAAUACUCCUGACUGACCGAUAGUG